RNAcentral lists this ribosomal RNA (450 nucleotides) under uncultured bacterium. Its description in RNAcentral is "partial 16S ribosomal RNA". It matches the Rfam family "Bacterial small subunit ribosomal RNA", at positions 354 to 796 of the family's 1533-position model. The record is from RNAcentral.
GUGGGGAAUUUUGGACAAUGGGCGAAAGCCUGAUCCAGCAAUGCCGCGUGUGUGAAGAAGGCCUUCGGGUUGUAAAGCACUUUUGUCCGGAAAGAAAUCCUUUGGGUUAAUACCUCGGAGGGAUGACGGUACCGGAAGAAUAAGGACCGGCUAACUACGUGCCAGCAGCCGCGGUAAUACGUAGGGUCCGAGCGUUAAUCGGAAUUACUGGGCGUAAAGCGUGAGCAGGCGGUUUUGUAAGACAGAUGUGAAAUCCCCGGGCUUAACCUGGGAAUUGCAUUUGUGACUGCAAGGCUAGAGUGUGUCAGAGGGGGGUAGAAUUCCACGUGUAGCAGUGAAAUGCGUAGAGAUGUGGAGGAAUACCGAUGGCGAAGGCAGCCCCCUGGGAUAACACUGACGCUCAUGCACGAAAGCGUGGGGAGCAAACAGGAUUAGAUACCCUAGUAGUCC